UGGUUUCCUAAAGGUUUGGCCUCUUCAAGGUAGGAAAAAUACACUUCAAAAAACAACACUCAAUGGAAGCUCACAUCAACUUCUCUAUGUCAACGUACACAACUUACUUUGCUGUAUGACCAAGAAAGUACAGUUAGAGCACAGUUAGUCUCAUUUCACAUUCCAAGUUACAACACCUACAGUUUCAAACUCUGUGUUGUCUUAAGCAUUAUGUCAUCAUUCGCCUCAGCUCUGUUACAAAACAAGUCAGCAGCUACAGUUCUUCACCUUUAACAACCUACUCAGAGAGGAAAUGCACUCAUAAAUGAAUUCAAGAUUUCCUGAAACCCAGACAAACCAUCAGCUCUGACCACUACACUGCAACAAUGACUAAGUUGAAGACUCCAACUUACAGAGACGGGACAGACAAGAAAACAAACAGGACAUCUGGAGCCUAAAAGCAGAUUCUCAACAUUCCACAAGCCUUGAGGAGUUCCACUUUAAAUUCCAAGUUCAUCCAUAUAAAUCAGACUGAAACUACAAAAGUAGAAAGGAAAUAAGACACAGAAAUAGGAGGAUC
This is a non-coding RNA of Coturnix japonica (Japanese quail), 559 nucleotides long. Lineage: Eukaryota; Metazoa; Chordata; Aves; Galliformes; Phasianidae. The record is from RefSeq and is a predicted model, not a curated record.